AUUGAACGCUGGCGGCAGGCCUAACAUAUGCAAGUCGAACGGUAACAGGAAGAAGCUUGCUUCUUUGCUGACGAGUGGCGGACGGGUGAGUAAUGUCUGGGAAACUGCCUGAUGGAGGGGGAUAACUACUGGAAACGGUAGCUAAUACCGCAUAACGUCGCAAGACCAAAGAGGGGGACCUUCGGGCCUCUUGCCAUCGGAUGUGCCCAGAUGGGAUUAGCUAGUAGGUGGGGUAACGGCUCACCUAGGCGACGAUCCCUAGCUGGUCUGAGAGGAUGACCAGCCACACUGGAACUGAGACACGGUCCAGACUCCUACGGGAGGCAGCAGUGGGGAAUAUUGCACAAUGGGCGCAAGCCUGAUGCAGCCAUGCCGCGUGUAUGAAGAAGGCCUUCGGGUUGUAAAGUACUUUCAGCGGGGAGGAAGGGAGUAAAGUUAAUACCUUUGCUCAUUGACGUUACCCGCAGAAGAAGCACCGGCUAACUCCGUG
RNAcentral lists this ribosomal RNA (490 nucleotides) under uncultured bacterium. RNAcentral describes it as "partial 16S ribosomal RNA". It matches the Rfam family "Bacterial small subunit ribosomal RNA", at positions 30 to 507 of the family's 1533-position model. The record is from RNAcentral.